RNAcentral lists this microRNA precursor (84 nucleotides) under Echinops telfairi (small Madagascar hedgehog). RNAcentral's name for it is "miRNA (ENSETEG00000024519.1)". The record is from RNAcentral. Lineage: Eukaryota; Metazoa; Chordata; Mammalia; Afrosoricida; Tenrecidae.
CCACCAGACCCUGGGCUGGGCUGGGCGGGGCGGCUGGGCCGUGACCCUUCCCCAGUGCCCUCCUUACCUCUUCCUGCCAGUCUU